This 515-nucleotide ribosomal RNA is filed under the name uncultured fungus. RNAcentral's name for it is "SSU rRNA". It matches the Rfam family "Eukaryotic small subunit ribosomal RNA", at positions 209 to 726 of the family's 1831-position model. The record is from RNAcentral. Lineage: Eukaryota; Fungi.
AUUAGAUAAAAAACCAAUGCCCUCUGGGCUCCUUGGUGAUUCAUAAUAACUUAACGAAUCGCAUUGCCUUGCGCCGGCGAUGGUUCAUUCAAAUUUCUGCCCCAUCAACUUUCGAUUGUAGGAUAGAGGCCUACAAUGGUCUUAACGGGUAACGGGGAAUUAGGGUUCUAUUCCGGAGAGGGAGCCUGAGAAACGGCUACCACAUCCAAGGAAGGCAGCAGGCGCGCAAAUUACCCAAUGCUAAUUCAGCGAGGUAGUGACAAUAAAUACUGAUACGGGGCUCUUUCGGGUCUCGUAAUUGGAAUGAGUACAAUCUAAAUCCCUUAACGAGGAACAAUUGGAGGGCAAGUCUGGUGCCAGCAGCCGCGGUAAUUCCAGCUCCAAUAGCGUAUAUUAAAGUUGUUGCCGUUAAAAAGCUCGUAUUGAACCUUGGACCUGGCUGAUCUGUCCUCCUAAUCGAGCGCACGGAUUCGGUCGGGUCUUUCCUUCUGGGGAGCCCCAUGCCCUUCAUUGGG